Molecule: ribosomal RNA, 500 nt
Filed under: uncultured bacterium
Lineage: Bacteria
Description: partial 16S ribosomal RNA
Rfam family: Bacterial small subunit ribosomal RNA
Source: RNAcentral
AUUGAACGCUGGCGGAAUGCUUUACACAUGCAAGUCGAACGGCAGCACGGGGGCAACCCUGGUGGCGAGUGGCGAACGGGUGAGUAAUACAUCGGAACGUGCCCAGUCGUGGGGGAUAACGUAGCGAAAGUUACGCUAAUACCGCGUACGAUCUACGGAUGAAAGCGGGGGACCGUAAGGCCUCGCGCGAUUGGAGCGGCCGAUGUCAGAUUAGGUAGUUGGUGAGGUAAAGGCUCACCAAGCCGACGAUCUGUAGCUGGUCUGAGAGGACGACCAGCCACACUGGGACUGAGACACGGCCCAGACUCCUACGGGAGGCAGCAGUGGGGAAUUUUGGACAAUGGGCACAAGCCUGAUCCAGCCAUUCCGCGUGCAGGACGAAGGCCUUCGGGUUGUAAACUGCUUUUGUACGGGACGAAAAGGCUCUGGUUAAUACCUGGGGCUCAUGACGGUACCGUAAGAAUAAGCACCGGCUAACUACGUGCCAGCCGCCGCAGUAA